Molecule: long non-coding RNA, 1342 nt
Organism: Lolium perenne
Lineage: Eukaryota; Viridiplantae; Streptophyta; Magnoliopsida; Poales; Poaceae
Source: RefSeq, a predicted model, not a curated record
UAGCUGCUUAUGAAUAUAAUUGGGCUGAGUGAAAUUCAUCUUUCUUAGCGGUGAAUGAGUCUUUGACUUACUGGUGAAUAAGUUUUAGACAUACCUGCUUUGUAUAGUACAUUUGUCUGGUUCAUUCCCAUGUCCUACGCUGAUGCAAGUCUUCUGUAAAUUGUUUGUAGGCGCAAACCAUUGUCACAGCUCAGGCGGAUGCAGCAGGCAAUAAGAAGAAUGUUUGAAUAAAAAGCAGGUAUGUUGAGGGUGACUUUGAUGCGUGAUGGGCGCUGGUGCUGCGGUCCACACCCAGAUCGAUCCGCUAAGGAACUGCCCCACAUCCAGAUCGAUGCCGCCCAAGAGCAAAAUCUGAAGAACAAGGUGUUAUCUCUCUUUCUCUCUUCGUAGUAGCAAUGAGUUGAUCAUGCUCAGGGCAUUUUGGGCCUUUUCCAAUUGAUCAUAUGCUAUUCUUUCAGUAUUUUCUGCUUUAGCUAAAGAUUGCAGGUUGUUGUCUACCGCAGGGGUCAUCACAGCACUGGCCUCCAUUCUUGCUUCAUUGAGUUGCCCAUCAAUGCUUAUUAGCGCAAUGCAGAGGCCUAAAAGACUAUUGAUAGGAUGACAAUAGGAGGACAAGAGAUGCCACAUUACCAAACCGGCCCUCCUCAGCCUCUUAUUUGGCAAGGAUCUGCAGGCAAGAAUGAACGCCCUCCAGUUUAGUUGCUUACAAGGCCCAUUGAUGUGGGAGACAAUAACCCCCUGGGACCAUACGAGUACAUGGCUCCAGCUUCACGUUAGGUAUGCAUAUUGAAUUUUAGUUUCAGGGGCCACUAAGUUAUCAGGUUCUUAUAAAUUCAGUUUCUAUGAUCUCUUUGGCCUUUUAGUAUGGAUGUGGCGAUCGGCUUGGAUUUUCAAACAGAUCUGAGAUUAAAAAUGAUUGUUUGCAUUUUUACGUAAGAGGAUUAUCAAAGAAGGAUGUUUCCUUAUAAACAAACCGUCCAUUCAAAAUACGUAGCCUUGCAGCUUUCUUUUGCUCUACGUGUGAAUAGAAUCCGUCGGAGCUACUCCCUGAUGGCCAGAUUUACUUUUGAAUGCCCGUACUGCUUGCAGCGGAUGAUGUUCACAUGUUUGUCUAUCAGCCAUGGUGAACCUGGUCUGAUCAUCCGACACUUUUUAUGCAACGUUGUUGCCUACAUGACCAUGUUGUUAAACCUUGACUAAAUUUCAGUAAAAUGUACCCAGGAAUUCAAUCAGCUAUGUUAUGUAAUAUACUUAGCACAGUAUUGUGUUAGAUGAACCUGUACAUGUUUUUAUCUAUCUAUGCUGGGAUUUAUGCUACGACAUUAAACUUAUAUGCUCUCCA